CAAUAGCGUAUAUUAAAGUUGUUGCAGUUAAAAAGCUCGUAGUUGGAUUUCUGGCAGAGUGUCCUUUGGCCAGCAUGACGUUUGGUCCAGAGCGCUCUACCAUCCUUCUGUUAACCUUUACAGGAUUCGUUUUCUGCAUUGGGGCUCAGAUAUUUUACCUUGAGAAAAUUAGAGUGUUUCAGGCAGGCUUUCGCCGGAAUACAUUAGCAUGGAAUAAUAGAAUAGGACUUUGGUUCUAUUUUGUUGGUUUCUAGGACCGAAGUAAUGAUUAAUAGGGACAGUUGGGGGCAUUAGUAUUUAAUUGUCAGAGGUGAAAUUCUUGGAUUAUCGGAAGAUGAACUUCUGCGAAAGCAUCUGCCAAGGAUGUUUUCAUUGAUCAAGAACGAAAGUUAGGGGAUCGAAGAUGAUCAGAUACCAU
Molecule: ribosomal RNA, 418 nt
Filed under: uncultured eukaryote
Lineage: Eukaryota
Description: bacterial SSU rRNA
Rfam family: Eukaryotic small subunit ribosomal RNA
Source: RNAcentral